UGGGGAAUAUUGGACAAUGGGCGCAAGCCUGAUCCAGCCAUGCCGCGUGAGUGAUGAAGGCCCUAGGGUUGUAAAGCUCUUUCACCGGUGAAGAUAAUGACGGUAACCGGAGAAGAAGCCCCGGCUAACUUCGUGCCAGCAGCCGCGGUAAUGCGAAGGGGGCUAGCGUUGUUCGGAUUUACUGGGCGUAAAGCGCACGUAGGCGGACUAUUAAGUCAGGGGUGAAAUCCCGGGGCUCAACCCCGGAACUGCCUUUGAUACUGGUAGUCUUGAGUUCGAGAGAGGUGAGUGGAAUUCCGAGUGUAGAGGUGAAAUUCGUAGAUAUUCGGAGGAACACCAGUGGCGAAGGCGGCUCACUGGCUCGAUACUGACGCUGAGGUGCGAAAGCGUGGGGAGCAAACAGG
Molecule: ribosomal RNA, 404 nt
Filed under: Actinomycetes bacterium
Lineage: Bacteria; Bacillati; Actinomycetota; Actinomycetes
Description: Actinobacteria bacterium partial 16S ribosomal RNA
Rfam family: Bacterial small subunit ribosomal RNA
Source: RNAcentral